This 254-nucleotide ribosomal RNA is filed under the name uncultured bacterium. RNAcentral's name for it is "partial 16S ribosomal RNA". It matches the Rfam family "Bacterial small subunit ribosomal RNA", at positions 524 to 776 of the family's 1533-position model. The record is from RNAcentral.
UACAGAGGUGGCAAGCGUUGUUCGGAAUUACUGGGCGUAAAGGGCGCGUAGGCGGCCAUCUAAGUCAGACGUGAAAUCCCCCGGCUUAACCUGGGAACUGCGUCUGAUACUGGACGGCUGGAGUUUGGGAGAGGGAUGUAGAAUUCCAGGUGUAGCGGUGAAAUGCGUAGAUAUCGGGAGGAACACCAGUGGCGAAGGCGACUACCUGGCCUGUUUCUUGACGCUGAGGCGCGAAAGCUAGGGGAGCAAACGGG